UACGGAGGGUGCAAGCGUUGUCCGGAAUUACUGGGCGUAAAGCGCAUGUAGGCGGAUCAGACAGUCAGAGGUGAAAGCCCAGGGCUCAACCCUGGAACUGCCUUUGAUACUGCUGGUCUAGAGAUCGAGAGAGGUGAGUGGAAUUCCGAGUGUAGAGGUGAAAUUCGUAGAUAUUCGGAGGAACACCAGUGGCGAAGGCGGCUCACUGGCUCGAUACUGACGCUGAGGUGCGAAAGCGUGGGGAGCAAACAGG
This 253-nucleotide unclassified non-coding RNA is filed under the name uncultured Rhodobacterales bacterium. RNAcentral describes it as "contains 16S-23S intergenic spacer region". It matches the Rfam family "Bacterial small subunit ribosomal RNA", at positions 524 to 776 of the family's 1533-position model. Lineage: Bacteria; Pseudomonadati; Pseudomonadota; Alphaproteobacteria; Rhodobacterales. The record is from RNAcentral.